UUAAAUCUCCAUAUUUCACAGUGACUAUAACUGAAUUUGGUUUGUCUGCUUAAUCAUUUCACAAUACAAAAAGCCUAUGGAUGUGGAUAUGGGCCUCAGUUAAAAAUAAAUAAAAAGCCCAACGUAAAAGGUUUAGAAGUUGAAAUUUAGAAAACAUUAAAAAUUGGCCCAAGUAAAAACUUAUCUUCCCUUCCCUCCCCUUCCAUUCUGCCUGCGUUCAAGCUUUUGAAGAGUACAACAAUGGCGAGUUGGGGCCUGCAUCCAACCUUCAAGUUUCCAGCAAAUCCAAUCCUCCAGAAAUCCCAAUGCAGGCACUGCCUUCAAUUGUUGUAAGAAAUCCCAGAUGAGGUGAGGCGGAUGCCUACACUCGCCUCUAUGUAGCUCCGCCCCUGGAAGUGAUCACACUUUAGAGCAGCCAAAAAUAUACGGUGGAAUUAACGAAUUUACCCCCGUAACAGUCUAAGAUACAAAAAUAAAGCCUAAAAAUACUCUAGUUUAAACUAAGAUUUAUCCAACAUUAUCCUCUUUAGGCACUCAAAUUAAAUUCAUAUGAAAUAUUAAAUGGUACAUUUGAAGGGGGACAAUAUUUAUUUAUUUUAAAAGUUUUUGCAGUUAAAAUUUAAAAAAAAAAUUAAAAAAUCACCCAAAUCUAACUCAAGAUUAUGAAAUGAGAUGUUCAGUUUUUUCAGGAAAAUUGACGACAUUACAAAAAUGUAGACAAAAACAAGUGAAUUGAAUAAUUGGAGAAAAAAUUGAAAGACUUACAGCUUAAAUUUCUUUAUCCCCAAGAGAACUCAAAAUCAAUUAUUAGGGGAGAAACUCCAUCUUUCACUGCGUAGCUGCGUCGGAGUGUGUACCAGAAGAGCUGCAGUAUUUUUAACGUUUGAUGAAUUCUAAGCGUAAGCUAGGGAUCAUUUUCUCCUCAAAAAAGGCACGGAGAAGUAAGGAU
This 949-nucleotide long non-coding RNA is filed under the name Olea europaea (common olive). RNAcentral describes it as "long non-coding RNA (OEUR_LNC008458)". Lineage: Eukaryota; Viridiplantae; Streptophyta; Magnoliopsida; Lamiales; Oleaceae. The record is from RNAcentral.